UGACGAGCAGCGCUGUUCACUUCUUGUCUUUUGUUGCUGUAAAUGAAAUAAAAUGGAGGCCUUAAUAUUCAUCAUAGCUUUGCUGAUUGCGUUUAAAUAUGUUCAUUGUGACAUCACACUGACAGAGUCUGCUCCACAGAUGAAGAAGCCUGGAGAUUCCGUGAGGCUCUCCUGCAAAAUUACUGGAUUCUCACUCAGCAGCAACAGUGUGCACUGGGUUCGACAGGCUCCAAAUAAAGGGCUGCAAUGGGUUGGAUACUAUGGUGGUUCUUCUGACGAUCGUUUCAAAGUUACAGAAGAUUCAUCCAACAGCAUUGCUUACUUAGACAUCACCAAUCUCCAGUCCUCAGACACAGCUGUGUAUUACUGUGCCCGAGAGACACAGUGAGAGUGUUUAAGGCCCUGCUGUACAAAAACCCUCCACAGAUGAUUUAGCAGGCACUGUGUGACUGGCUGUGCUGUGUGGCCUAAAGACAUUUUCUGUUAUUGUUUUUCUCCUGGAUUUGCACCAUACACAAAGUUGAAAUUAAUUUAAGAAAAUAACAAACACAUUUAAUCCAACUUAAUUUUAUGUAUUCAAUUAUUCCUCUAUAUUAAGCUCCCAGUGGAUUCAAAGUGAGCAAUAGCUUGAGUAACAAGUGAAAGUUUGUGAA
Molecule: non-coding RNA, 653 nt
Organism: Anguilla anguilla (European eel)
Lineage: Eukaryota; Metazoa; Chordata; Actinopteri; Anguilliformes; Anguillidae
Source: the annotation of a RefSeq genome assembly